Molecule: long non-coding RNA, 1079 nt
Filed under: Bos indicus x Bos taurus (hybrid cattle)
Lineage: Eukaryota; Metazoa; Chordata; Mammalia; Artiodactyla; Bovidae
Description: lncRNA (ENSBIXG00000016568.1)
Source: RNAcentral
CUUGGAGAGGGGUCCUGGGAGGGGGCCUUUGAUGAUAGCUUAUGGCAUGACACACAGGGAUACUGGUCACAUGAAGAGAGUAUUCCUUGUAUUCAGUGUAAGAGUGUAUUUACUGGAAAAGAAACCAGUGACCUUAAUAAUGAUAGUAACCACAGCGAAAAGCAAAGGAGCAAAGGAAAGAUAUAAACAUCUGAAUGCAGAGUUCCAAAGAAUAGCAAGAAGAGAUAAGAAAGCCUUCUUCAGUGAUCAAUGCAAAGAAAUAGAGGAAUGGGAAAGACUAAAGAUCUCUUCAAGAAAAUCAGAGAUACCAAAGGAACAUUUCAUGCAAAGAUGGGCUCGAUAAAAGAAAGAAAUGGUAUGGACCUAACAGAAGCAGAAGAUAUUAAGAAGAGAUGGCAAGAAUACACAGAAAAACUGUACAAAAAAGAUCUUCACAUCCCAGAUGAUCACGAUGGUGUGAUCACUGACCUAGAGCCAGACAUCCUGGAAUGUGAAGUCAAGUGGGCCUUAGAAAGCAUCACUACGAACAAAGCUAGUGGAGGUGAUAGAAUUCCAGUUGAGCUAUUCCAAAUCCUGAAAGAUGAUGCUGUGAAAGUGCUGCACUCAAUAUGCCAGCAAAUUUGGAAAACUCAGCAGUGGCCACAGGACUGGAAAAGGUCAGUUUUCAUUCCAAUCCCAAAGAAAGGCAAUGCCAAAGAAUGGUCAAACUACUGCACAAUUGCACUCAUCUCACACUCUAGUAAAGUAAUGCUCAAAAUUCUCCAAGCCAGGCUUCAGCAAUAUGUGAACCGUGAACUUCCUGAUGUUCAAGCUGGUUUUAGAAAAGGCAGAGGAACCAGAGAUCAAAUUGCCAACAUCUGCUGGAUCAUGGAAAAAGCAAGAGAGCUCCAGAAAAACAUCUAUUUCUGCUUUAUUGACUAUGCCAAAGCUUUUGACUGUGUAGAUCACAAUAAACUGUGGAAAAUUCUGAAAGAGAUGGGAAUACCAGACCACCUGAUCUGCCUCUUGAGAAAUUUGUAUGCAGGUCAGGAAGCAACAGUUAGAACUGGACAUGGAAUAACAGACUGGUUCCAAAUAGG